This 254-nucleotide ribosomal RNA is filed under the name uncultured bacterium. RNAcentral describes it as "partial 16S ribosomal RNA". It matches the Rfam family "Bacterial small subunit ribosomal RNA", at positions 524 to 776 of the family's 1533-position model. The record is from RNAcentral.
UACGUAGGGCGCAAGCGUUAUCCGGAAUUAUUGGGCGUAAAGAGCUCGUAGGCGGUUUGUCGCGUCUGCCGUGAAAGUCCGGGGCUCAACUCCGGAUCUGCGGUGGGUACGGGCAGACUAGAGUGAUGUAGGGGAGACUGGAAUUUCUGGUGUAGCGGUGAAAUGCGCAGAUAAUCAGGAGGAACACCGAUGGCGAAGGCAGGUCUCUGGGCAUUAACUGACGCUGAGGAGCGAAAGCAUGGGGAGCGAACAGG